AUGGUUUUAGUUCGUGUUUUUUCGACCUAGAAAUCAAACCCUUUUGAUUAUUUUCUGUAUAACUGUUUUAGAUUUGAAAGGGGUUUUCUUGGUCUUCAUAGAUGCAUAUAAACUCGGUGCAUUUUUAGCUGUUCUGGUGCUAUACUUGGGGAGUUUAGUUUGUUUUCCAAAUUAUCCUUUGUACUAUAAAUGAAAUUUUAAUCAUUCAUGCUCUUUUUUUCCUAAUGAAAUUACCUUCUACUAAUGUUUACCUUUUAAUAUGUUUUGGUGCAUUUUUGGGUUUGUACCUUAUACAUGUGUUAUAAAUCAACUUCACUUGACCCUAAAUCUAAUAUCAUAUUGUUCAAAUAAAGGAUGGUGCAUAGUUGGUGCUGGGAAGGCAGGUGGAGAGCUAGAUUUGAUCUCACAUCCCACCACUUCCUGAUAUUAGUCUUGAUUUCUCUCAAGUAUUAUGUACCAAUUCAUUAUCAAAGUACUAGGUCGAUCAUUUUACUUUUGGGUUUAGUGAACAUAUGCCACUUUGGCUUUUAGGUUUCAUGAUUUUGUGGAACAAUGACUAAUAUGAAUGCAUCUUGGUGGAUCCAUUUGAUGA
Rosa rugosa (rugosa rose) is the source of this 592-nucleotide long non-coding RNA. RefSeq lists it as uncharacterized. The record is from RefSeq and is a predicted model, not a curated record. The transcript has 2 exons. Lineage: Eukaryota; Viridiplantae; Streptophyta; Magnoliopsida; Rosales; Rosaceae.